RNAcentral lists this ribosomal RNA (253 nucleotides) under uncultured bacterium. Its description in RNAcentral is "partial 16S ribosomal RNA". It matches the Rfam family "Bacterial small subunit ribosomal RNA", at positions 524 to 776 of the family's 1533-position model. The record is from RNAcentral.
CACGUAGGGUGCGAGCGUUGUCCGGAAUUAUUGGGCGUAAAGAGCUCGUAGGCGGUGUGUCGCGUCGGCCGUGAAAACCUGCAGCUUAACUGUGGGCUUGCGGUCGAUACGGCAUCACUGGAGUUCGGCAGGGGAGACUGGAAUUCCUGGUGUAGCGGUGAAAUGCGCAGAUAUCAGGAGGAACACCGGUGGCGAAGGCGGGUCUCUGGGCCGAUACUGACGCUGAGGAGCGAAAGCGUGGGGAGCGAACAGG